AUUGAACGCUGGCGGCAUGCCUUACACAUGCAAGUCGAACGGCAGCGGACCUUCGGGUGCCGGCGAGUGGCGAACGGGUGAGUAAAGUAUCGGAACGUACCUUUCAGUGGGGGAUAACGUAGCGAAAGUUACGCUAAUGCCGCAUAUUCUGUGAGCAGGAAAGCAGGGGACCUUCGGGCCUUGCGCUGAUAGAGCGGCCGAUAUCAGAUUAGCUAGUUGGUGGGGUAAAAGCACACCAAGGCGACGAUCUGUAGCGGGUCUGAGAGGAUGAUCCGCCACACUGGAACUGAGACACGGUCCAGACUCCUACGGGAGGCAGCAGUGGGGAAUUUUGGACAAUGGGGGCAACCCUGAUCCAGCCAUGCCGCGUGAGUGAAGAAGGCCUUCGGGUUGUAAAGCUCUUUCGGCCGGGAAGAAAUCGCAUAGGCUAAUACCCUGUGUGGAUGACGGUACCGGAAUAAGAAGCACCGGCUAACUACGUGCCAGCCGCCGCGGUAA
This 498-nucleotide ribosomal RNA is filed under the name uncultured bacterium. RNAcentral describes it as "partial 16S ribosomal RNA". It matches the Rfam family "Bacterial small subunit ribosomal RNA", at positions 30 to 523 of the family's 1533-position model. The record is from RNAcentral.